RNAcentral lists this ribosomal RNA (484 nucleotides) under uncultured bacterium. Its description in RNAcentral is "partial 16S ribosomal RNA". It matches the Rfam family "Bacterial small subunit ribosomal RNA", at positions 30 to 507 of the family's 1533-position model. The record is from RNAcentral.
AUUGAACGCUGGCGGCAGGCCUAAUACAUGCAAGUCGAGCGGACGAAGGGAGCUUGCUCCUGGAUUCAGCGGCGGACGGGUGAGUAAUGCCUAGGAAUCUGCCUGGUAGUGGGGGAUAACGUCUGGAAACGGGCGCUAAUACCGCAUACGUCCUGAGCGAGAAUGUGGGGGAUCUUCGGACCUCACGCUAUCAGAUGAGCCUAGGUCGGAUUAGCUAGUUGGUGGGGUAAAGGCCUACCAAGGCGACGAUCCGUAACUGGUCUGAGAGGAUGAUCAGUCACACUGGAACUGAGACACGGUCCAGACUCCUACGGGAGGCAGCAGUGGGGAAUAUUGGGCAAUGGGCGAAAGCCUGAUCCAGCCAUGCCGCGUGUGUGAAGAAGGUCUUCGGAUUGUAAAGCACUUUAAGUUGGGAGGAAGGGCAGUAAGUUAAUACCUUGUUGUUUUGACGUUACCAACAGAAUAAGCACCGGCUAACUUCGUG